UUGUAUUAAAUGAUGAUUGAAUUAAAGCAUAGUUCAUCAGAAUAAAGAUGUUGAGCUUUAUUUCGCCCCUAUCUGAUAAUUAAU
This is a small nucleolar RNA of Hydra vulgaris (swiftwater hydra), 84 nucleotides long. RefSeq annotates it as small nucleolar RNA snR60/Z15/Z230/Z193/J17. The record is from RefSeq and is a predicted model, not a curated record. Lineage: Eukaryota; Metazoa; Cnidaria; Hydrozoa; Anthoathecata; Hydridae.